RNAcentral lists this ribosomal RNA (256 nucleotides) under uncultured bacterium. RNAcentral describes it as "partial 16S ribosomal RNA". It matches the Rfam family "Bacterial small subunit ribosomal RNA", at positions 524 to 776 of the family's 1533-position model. The record is from RNAcentral.
GACGUAGGUGACGAACGUUAUCCGGAAUUAUUGGGCGUAAAGGGUGCGUAGAUGGCCUGAUAAGUUAGCAGUGGGAAAUCGAGGCUCAACCUCGCGGAAGCUGGUAAUACUGUCAGGCUCGAGUGCAGGAGAGGUUAACGGAACUCCAUGUGGAGCGGUAAAAUGUGUAGAUAUAUGGAAGAACACCAAUAACGGCGAAGGCAGUUAACUAUUCUGUUACUGACAUUGAGGCACGAAAGCGUGGGGAGCAAAACGG